RNAcentral lists this non-coding RNA (226 nucleotides) under Triticum aestivum (bread wheat). RNAcentral's name for it is "Bacterial large subunit ribosomal RNA". It matches the Rfam family "Bacterial large subunit ribosomal RNA", at positions 2217 to 2454 of the family's 2925-position model. Lineage: Eukaryota; Viridiplantae; Streptophyta; Magnoliopsida; Poales; Poaceae. The record is from Rfam by way of RNAcentral.
ACUGCUUCACACCCCCGGGCCAAUGGAUAGUCUCAGGUAGACAGUUAGUAUGGUGCGCAUGCCUCCCAAAAGGUAACAGAGGCAUGCAAACAUUUUCUCGGACCAGACGGACAUUGGUCCUCAAGUGAAAAGGCAGAAGAAAGCUUGAAAGCAAGACUCACUCAUCGAGCAAAGACAAAAGUUGGCCUUAGUAAUCAGAAGGUGCCAAGUGGAAGUCUUAGAAAUG